CCUACGGGUGGCAGCAGUGGGGAAUAUUGCACAAUGGGGGAAACCCUGAUGCAGCGACGCCGCGUGAGUGAAGAAGGAAUUCGUUAUGUAAAGCUCUAUCAGCAGGGGAGAAAAUGACGGUACCUGAGUAAGAAGCCCCGGCGAACUACGUGCCAGCAGCCGCGGCAAUACGUAGGGGGCAAGCGUUAUCCGGAUUUACUGGGUGUAAAGGGAGCGUAGACGGCAGUGCAAGUCUGGAGUGAAAGGCGGGGGCUCAACCCCCGGACUGCUCUGGAAACUGUACGGCUGGAGUGCAGGAGAGGUAAGUGGAAUUCCUAGUGUAGCGGUGAAAUGCGUAGAUAUUGGGAGGAACACCAGUGGCGAAGGCGGCUUACUGGACUGUAACUGACGUUGAGGCUCGAAAGCGUGGGGAGCGAACAGGAUUAGAUACCCUGGUAGUC
Molecule: ribosomal RNA, 440 nt
Filed under: uncultured bacterium
Lineage: Bacteria
Description: partial 16S ribosomal RNA
Rfam family: Bacterial small subunit ribosomal RNA
Source: RNAcentral